AAAUGCGAUAAUUAGUGUGAAUUGCAGAAUUCAGUGAAUCAUCGAAUCUUUGAACGCACAUUGCGCCCUUUGGUAUUCCUUAGGGCAUGCCUGUUCGAGCGUCAUCUAAACCUUCAAGCCCUGCUUGGUGUUGGGUGCCUGUCCCGCCUCCGCGCGCGGACUCACCUCAAAUCCAUUGGCGGCCCCCGCGUCGGCCACGAGCGCAGCAGAAACGCGAACUCGUGAGCCCGUCCGGGCGGCUCCCAGAAGCUACACCCACCCAGUUUGACCUCGGAUCAGGUAGGGAUACCCGCUGAACUUAAG
RNAcentral lists this unclassified non-coding RNA (303 nucleotides) under plant metagenome. RNAcentral describes it as "partial contains 5.8S ribosomal RNA, internal transcribed spacer 2, and large subunit ribosomal RNA". The stretch from base 1 to 104 matches the Rfam family "5.8S ribosomal RNA", at positions 51 to 154 of the family's 154-position model. The record is from RNAcentral.